Molecule: unclassified non-coding RNA, 492 nt
Filed under: Hevea brasiliensis (rubber tree)
Lineage: Eukaryota; Viridiplantae; Streptophyta; Magnoliopsida; Malpighiales; Euphorbiaceae
Source: RNAcentral
GAAUCUCAUGCCCCCUUCAACAUUUACAUUAAUGCAAGAAAAGAAAGAGAGAGAGACUCUCGACUCUUGAUGCUUUCCUCUUCUGGUCGUUUAGAAAAACAAAGAAAGCCGUGAAGGUUUCAGGCUGGUUCAUCGACAGUCUCUCUAGGGCUUUCUCUGAUUAAUCCAAUCCAGUAAUAAAUGAUACGAACAGGUAAUAUGGCUUUCAAAAUACUUGAAACAAAUUCGUAAACGGAUGGAUGAAAAGGGGAAAACCCAACAGAAAAGAAAAGAAAAAGGAAAGAAAAAGGCAGCUAAGCCCAACAUGAUAAUUCGUUUCAAAAUCUUAUUAUUAGCGGUGCCAUCAUAAUUAUCAUUAUCCCUAUUAUUGUCAAAAGAGAAAUGAUACUGUUAUUUGGGAAAAGAAGGUCAUCAUUUCUAUCUUGAUGAAGGUUAUAAUCUCCAUUUAACGUUUCAAUGAACUGUCAGUCAAGGGGGAAAAAAUAAAACAAA